AAUCAAGAAACAGACGAAGACUCUGGCGAUGAGGAAAGACAUAUAUUACCAGAAAUUAAUUCUGACACCGAAGAAGACUCAUCGGAUGAUUCCGAUUACGAGCCUUAGUUUUAAUUUAGAAGACGUAAUCCAUUAAUUUGUAUAACUAAAGACCUUUUCUUUUAUACUUUACAUAUGUUGAAUUCAUAUUUCAGUUAUUUUAUAUAAAUUUUGGUGAUAAAUGAUGAACAGGAAGUUAGUAUGGUUUACUAAUAUCGUCUGUUUUUUUUAAUGUAUUUUUUCUUUAAGCCGACGAAAUACACCAUAAUUCGUCGGCUAAAACCAUCUUAGCCGACGAAUUAUAGUGUAUUUCGUCGGCUAAUAUGGUUUUAACCGACGAAUAACCUAAUAUUUCGUCGGCUUUAGUUAUUUUUAAUUUUUUAAUUACAUACUAUAGCCGACGAAUACGUUAGGGUAUUCGUCGGCUAAACCCUAAAAUUUUUCUAUUACCUACUAUAGCCCUAUCUUCGGUGGUUAUUUUCCGUAAAAUUUUUAGACGACUUCUUACGUCUCAUUGGUUUGAAACUAUUUUCAGUUGGAGGUCCGGCUAAAAUACGUAAUUUAGACGGUCGAACGACAUUUUCCGUGCGUUUAGGGGUUUGACUUACGAGAUUGACCGUCCGGAUCGAGCCCUUAUUCUUUUCGGAUCAAGUUGAAUUUUUUCCCAUACAUGUAUUUUGUCAUGAUGGUCAGAUCUGACGGUCGGAUUUCUGUUUCUCAAGUUUGAUCAUCACAAUCACAACAUGCAUACUAAUGUUGUAUAACUUGUUUACCAAGUGUUAUGUAAAUGUUCCGUUUCAAAAACAAACUAUACGUAAAACCUUCAAACGCCAAAAAGUCAUGAAAUAAGAUAUGACGAGAAUGUUGAAAUACAUCCACGGUUGAAAAAUCACACUAUUCCGGUAAAUAUUCGGUGCCGAUAGUUGCAGUCAAUGCAAUUUUUCAUUCUUCCCCUUAUGAGUAGCCCUAUAU
RNAcentral lists this long non-coding RNA (1011 nucleotides) under Fragaria vesca (wild strawberry). RNAcentral's name for it is "long non-coding RNA (FVES_LNC005263)". Lineage: Eukaryota; Viridiplantae; Streptophyta; Magnoliopsida; Rosales; Rosaceae. The record is from RNAcentral.